This 340-nucleotide ribosomal RNA is filed under the name uncultured Methanomicrobiales archaeon. RNAcentral describes it as "bacterial SSU rRNA". It matches the Rfam family "Archaeal small subunit ribosomal RNA", at positions 1000 to 1338 of the family's 1478-position model. Lineage: Archaea; Methanobacteriati; Methanobacteriota; Methanomicrobia; Methanomicrobiales. The record is from RNAcentral.
GUCGUCAGUUCGUACUGUGAAGCAUCCUGUUAAGUCAGGCAACGAGCGAGACCCACGCCAACAGUUGCCAGCUCGUCCGUCCGGGAUGGUGGGGACACUGUUGGGACCGCCUCUGCUAAAGAGGAGGAAGGAAUGGGCAACGGUAGGUCAGCAUGCCCCGAAUUAUCUGGGCUACACGCGGGCUACAAUGGGUGGGACAAUGGGUAUCGACACCGAAAGGUGAAGGCAAUCUCCUAAACCCAUCCGUAGUUCGGAUUGUGGGCUGCAACUCGCCCGCAUGAAGCUGGAAUCUGUAGUAAUCGUGUCUCAAAAUGGCACGGUGAAUAUGUCCCUGCUCCUU